UAGAUGACGCUGGCGGCGUGCCUAAUACAUGCAAGUCGAGCGAACGGACGAGAAGCUUGCUUCUCUGAUGUUAGCGGCGGACGGGUGAGUAACACGUGGAUAACCUACCUAUAAGACUGGGAUAACUUCGGGAAACCGGAGCUAAUACCGGAUAAUAUUUUGAACCGCAUGGUUCAAAAGUGAAAGACGGUCUUGCUGUCACUUAUAGAUGGAUCCGCGCUGCAUUAGCUAGUUGGUAAGGUAACGGCUUACCAAGGCAACGAUGCAUAGCCGACCUGAGAGGGUGAUCGGCCACACUGGAACUGAGACACGGUCCAGACUCCUACGGGAGGCAGCAGUAGGGAAUCUUCCGCAAUGGGCGAAAGCCUGACGGAGCAACGCCGCGUGAGUGAUGAAGGUCUUCGGAUCGUAAAACUCUGUUAUUAGGGAAGAACAUAUGUGUAAGUAACUGUGCACAUCUUGACGGUACCUAAUCAGAAAGCCACGGCUAACUACGUGCCAGCAGCCGCGGUAAUACGUAGGUGGCAAGCGUUAUCCGGAAUUAUUGGGCGUAAAGCGCGCGUAGGCGGUUUUUUAAGUCUGAUGUGAAAGCCCACGGCUCAACCCGUGGAGGGUCAUUGGAAACUGGAAAACUUGAGUGCAGAAGAGGAAAGUGGAAUUCCAUGUGUAGCGGUGAAAUGCGCAGAGAUAUGGAGGAACACCAGUGGCGAAGGCGACUUUCUGGUCUGUAACUGACGCUGAUGUGCGAAAGCGUGGGGAUCAAACAGGAUUAGAUACCCUGGUAGUCCACGCCGUAAACGAUGAGUGCUAAGUGUUAGGGGGUUUCCGCCCCUUAGUGCUGCAGCUAACGCAUUAAGCACUCCGCCUGGGGAGUACGACCGCAAGGUUGAAACUCAAAGGAAUUGACGGGGACCCGCACAAGCGGUGGAGCAUGUGGUUUAAUUCGAAGCAACGCGAAGAACCUUACCAAAUCUUGACAUCCUUUGACAACUCUAGAGAUAGAGCCUUCCCCUUCGGGGGACAAAGUGACAGGUGGUGCAUGGUUGUCGUCAGCUCGUGUCGUGAGAUGUUGGGUUAAGUCCCGCAACGAGCGCAACCCUUAAGCUUAGUUGCCAUCAUUAAGUUGGGCACUCUAAGUUGACUGCCGGUGACAAACCGGAGGAAGGUGGGGAUGACGUCAAAUCAUCAUGCCCCUUAUGAUUUGGGCUACACACGUGCUACAAUGGACAAUACAAAGGGCAGCGAAACCGCGAGGUCAAGCAAAUCCCAUAAAGUUGUUCUCAGUUCGGAUUGUAGUCUGCAACUCGACUACAUGAAGCUGGAAUCGCUAGUAAUCGUAGAUCAGCAUGCUACGGUGAAUACGUUCCCGGGUCUUGUACACACCGCCCGUCACACCACGAGAGUUUGUAACACCCGAAGCCGGUGGAGUAACCUUUUAGGAGCUAGCCGUCGAAGGUGGGACAAAUGAUGGG
This 1472-nucleotide ribosomal RNA is filed under the name Staphylococcus aureus. Its description in RNAcentral is "partial 16S ribosomal RNA". It matches the Rfam family "Bacterial small subunit ribosomal RNA". Lineage: Bacteria; Bacillati; Bacillota; Bacilli; Caryophanales; Staphylococcaceae. The record is from RNAcentral.